This 250-nucleotide ribosomal RNA is filed under the name uncultured bacterium. RNAcentral's name for it is "partial 16S ribosomal RNA". It matches the Rfam family "Bacterial small subunit ribosomal RNA", at positions 524 to 773 of the family's 1533-position model. The record is from RNAcentral.
UACGGAGGGUGCAAGCGUUGUCCGGAAUUAUUGGGUUUAAAGGGUGCGUAGGCGGUUAUUUAAGUCAGAGCUGAAAUGUCUGGGCUCAACCGAGGAACUGGCUUUGAUACUGAAUAACUUGAGUACAGUUGAGGUAGGCGGAAUUGAUGGUGUAGCGGUGAAAUGCAUAGAUAUCAUCAAGAACACCGAUUGCGAAGGCAGCUUACUGGACUGUAACUGACGCUGAGGCACGAAAGCGUGGGGAGCGAAC